RNAcentral lists this ribosomal RNA (253 nucleotides) under uncultured bacterium. Its description in RNAcentral is "partial 16S ribosomal RNA". It matches the Rfam family "Bacterial small subunit ribosomal RNA", at positions 524 to 776 of the family's 1533-position model. The record is from RNAcentral.
UACGAAGGGGGCUAGCGUUGCUCGGAAUCACUGGGCGUAAAGCGCACGUAGGCGGAUUGCUAAGUCAGGGGUGAAAUCCUGGAGCUCAACUCCAGAACUGCCUUUGAUACUGGCGAUCUCGAGUCCGGGAGAGGUGAGUGGAACUGCGAGUGUAGAGGUGAAAUUCGUAGAUAUUCGCAAGAACACCAGUGGCGAAGGCGGCUCACUGGCCCGGUACUGACGCUGAGCCGCGAAAGCCAGGGGAGCGAACGGG